This is a small nuclear RNA of 131 nucleotides. It matches the Rfam family "U4 spliceosomal RNA". Rfam says of the family: U4 small nuclear RNA (U4 snRNA) is a component of the major U2-dependent spliceosome. The structure of U4 snRNA from yeast and human has been reported.
UCUCUUGUGCUCGGGCAUGUACUGUCGCCAGUGAGGUUUCUACCGAGGCACAGUUUUUUUGCUGAUUGCAAAUUAUACAUCCGAACCCGUCUGUUAGCUUCGGCUUUCAGCAAUAUUUGGAAACUCUCCCU